Non-coding RNA from Macaca mulatta (Rhesus monkey), 353 nucleotides. NCBI's taxonomy places the organism in Eukaryota, Metazoa, Chordata, Mammalia, Primates, Cercopithecidae. The record is from RefSeq and is a predicted model, not a curated record.
UCUUAGCCCUUGUUAGGAAAAUGCUGGAUCCAAGAGUAGCUGCGCCCUUCUUUGCUUCAGUUGAACAAGCACCAGAGUCGCUGAUUUGGCAGUGUUGGAGCGAGAGGAACUGGCCUUAAAAAGCCAAUCGACUGAAGACGAAAUAGAACAAAAAGGCUGACCUCCCAGGAGUAACAGGGAGCUCCUACAGCCAAACAGCUUGAGUUGGAACACUUUUCCAGCCUUGGGCUCAGACUGGGACUACACAUCAGUUUGCCUGCCUCUCCAGCUUGUCAACUGCAGAUCCUGAGACUUCUCAGCCUUCCUAAUUGUAUGGGCAAAUUCCUUAUAAUAAAUCUUUUAUACACACACUC